GAUGAACGCUGGCGGCGUGCCUAAUACAUGCAAGUAGAACGCUGAAGCUUGGUGCUUGCACCGAGCGGAUGAGUUGCGAACGGGUGAGUAACGCGUAGGUAACCUGCCUGGUAGCGGGGGAUAACUAUUGGAAACGAUAGCUAAUACCGCAUAACAGUAGAUAUUGCAUGAUAUCUGCUUGAAAGGUGCAAUUGCAUCACUACCAGAUGGACCUGCGUUGUAUUAGCUAGUUGGUGAGGUAACGGCUCACCAAGGCGACGAUACAUAGCCGACCUGAGAGGGUGAUCGGCCACACUGGGACUGAGACACGGCCCAGACUCCUACGGGAGCAGCAGUAGGGAAUCUUCGGCAAUGGGGGGAACCCUGACCGAGCAACGCCGCGUGAGUGAAGAAGGUUUUUUCGGAUCGUAAAGCUCUGUGUAAGAGAAGAACGAGUGUGAGAGUGGAAAGUUCAC
Molecule: ribosomal RNA, 455 nt
Filed under: uncultured bacterium
Lineage: Bacteria
Description: bacterial SSU rRNA
Rfam family: Bacterial small subunit ribosomal RNA
Source: RNAcentral